RNAcentral lists this ribosomal RNA (495 nucleotides) under uncultured bacterium. RNAcentral's name for it is "partial 16S ribosomal RNA". It matches the Rfam family "Bacterial small subunit ribosomal RNA", at positions 30 to 507 of the family's 1533-position model. The record is from RNAcentral.
UGAACGCUGGCGGCGUGCCUAAUACAUGCAAGUCGAGCGAACGGACGAGAAGCUUGCUUCUCUGAUGUUAGCGGCGGACGGGUGAGUAACACGUGGAUAACCUACCUAUAAGACUGGGAUAACUUCGGGAAACCGGAGCUAAUACCGGAUAAUAUUUUGAACCGCAUGGUUCAAAAGUGAAAGACGGUCUUGCUGUCACUUAUAGAUGGAUCCGCGCUGCAUUAGCUAGUUGGUAAGGUAACGGCUUACCAAGGCAACGAUGCAUAGCCGACCUGGGAGGGUGAUCGGCCACACUGGAACUGAGGCACGGUCCAGACUCCUACGGGAGGCAGCAGUAGGGAAUCUUCCGCAAUGGGCGAAAGCCUGACGGAGCAACGCCGCGUGAGUGAUGAAGGUCUUCGGAUCGUAAAACUCUGUUAUUAGGGAAGAACAUAUGUGUAAGUAACUGUGCACAUCUUGACGGUACCUAAUCAGAAAGCCACGGCUAACUACGUG